GAAAGCUGGAAUGAAGGGUCGGAUGAGAAAGUUUCUGUCUCACUUUAAUUUUGUUUGAAUUUUAUUUUUAAGUCAAAAAGCUUAGAUUUUAUAAAAAGACGAGAAGACCCUAUAGAGUUUAAUAGGUUUAGAUUUUUAUUAUUUUAGGGUUUUAUAUUGAUUGAUUUUUAACUUAUUUUGUUGGGGUGAUGUAAGAAUUGAGUUAACUUCUUUUUAUAAGAACAUUGAUUAAUGAAUAAUGGAUCCUUGAAUUUGGAUUGAAAGAAUAAAUUACCUUAGGGAUAACAGCGUAAUUCUUUUGGAGAGUUCUAAUCGAUAAAAGGGAUUGCGACCUCGAUGUUGGAUUAAAGUUUAAUUUUGGUGUAGAAGCUAUAAUUUUG
This 380-nucleotide ribosomal RNA is filed under the name Berberomeloe castuo. RNAcentral's name for it is "partial large subunit ribosomal RNA". The record is from RNAcentral. Lineage: Eukaryota; Metazoa; Arthropoda; Insecta; Coleoptera; Meloidae.